Molecule: long non-coding RNA, 499 nt
Filed under: Medicago truncatula (barrel medic)
Lineage: Eukaryota; Viridiplantae; Streptophyta; Magnoliopsida; Fabales; Fabaceae
Description: lncRNA gene2434
Source: RNAcentral
AUGGCUCCGCCGCGGUAUAUAUAUAUAUAUAUAUAUAUAUAUAUAUAUAUAUAUAUAUAUAUAUAUAUAUAUAUAUAUAAGUUUUUUAAAAACGUUAAUCAUGAUGAAUGAAGGAGUUGCUUAAAUGUCUAUAAAAUAUAUGCUCAUGCAUACAUAUUAUAUUGUUUGGAACGAAAGUAUUAUCUACAAUUAAAUUCGAUGUUGGUCAAUGAGAAACUACACUCAAUGUAAUAUUUUCGUUGUUAGAACUAAACCUAUUAUAUUGUGAGAGACUACACAUUCAAAUCAUAGAGGGUUUGAUCUAUAUUGCAUGAAUAAGAGUAAUUAUCACCACCCAUGAACAAGGGCUAGAUACUUCAAUAUCAUAUGCGUUGGCAUAUUGAUAUUGUAUUAGAAUUGUUUUAGCUUUGUCAUGAUGUGUUAUAUGUUGAGAAAGUGUUAGAUAUGCAUGUUUAAUGUUUAUUACAUGUGUUGUGUACUUGCUCGAUGAUUUAUGUGU